AUCCAGUCUUGGUGCUCUGUGUUCACCUGGUUCAUCUGAGGGGCUGCAUCGACCCGACCCUUGCCAUAGAUCCUGACCUAUUUGCUUCUCCUGUUGCUGCUGCUGGACAGCAG
This is a non-coding RNA of Callithrix jacchus (white-tufted-ear marmoset), 113 nucleotides long. The record is from Rfam. Lineage: Eukaryota; Metazoa; Chordata; Mammalia; Primates; Cebidae.